This 336-nucleotide unclassified non-coding RNA is filed under the name plant metagenome. RNAcentral's name for it is "partial contains small subunit ribosomal RNA, internal transcribed spacer 1, and 5.8S ribosomal RNA". The record is from RNAcentral.
UUUCCGUAGGUGAACCUGCGGAAGGAUCAUUAUUGAAUAUGCUUGAUAGGUUGUAGCUGGCUCUUCGGAGUAUGUGCACGCUUAUCUUGACUUAAUUCAUCCACCUGUGCACCUUUUGUAGUCUUGGGGGUUGAGAUCGGUCGACUAUCGGAUGGCCAAGGUCAUUCCGGAUGUGAGGAAUGCUGAGUGCGAAAGCAUACAGCUCUUCUUAAAUGACUUGUCUUCCUCGAGUACUAUGUAUUCAUAUACCACAUAGUAUGUUGUAGAAUGUGAUCAAUGGGUCUAUGUACCUAUAAUAAUCAUAUACAACUUUCAGCAACGGAUCUCUUGGCUCUC